GAAAAGUCAUCAUCGUCCUUUUAAUUUUUUUUUUUUUUUAAUCUGCUUUCUCGGGAAUCAAAAAGAGUGUGGUGGAACAGGAAAUAGGCGUGAAUUUCUGACUGACCUAG
Molecule: long non-coding RNA, 110 nt
Organism: Cucurbita moschata (crookneck pumpkin)
Lineage: Eukaryota; Viridiplantae; Streptophyta; Magnoliopsida; Cucurbitales; Cucurbitaceae
Exons: 3
Source: RefSeq, a predicted model, not a curated record